This 397-nucleotide ribosomal RNA is filed under the name uncultured bacterium. Its description in RNAcentral is "partial 16S ribosomal RNA". It matches the Rfam family "Bacterial small subunit ribosomal RNA", at positions 523 to 918 of the family's 1533-position model. The record is from RNAcentral.
AUACGUAGGGGGCGAGCGUUGUCCGGAAUGAUUGGGCGUAAAGGGCGCGUAGGCGGCCCGGUAAGUCUGGAGUGAAAGUCCUGUUUUUAAGAUGGGAAUUGCUUUGGAUACUGUCGGGCUUGAGUGCAGGAGAGGUAAGUGGAAUUCCCAGUGCAGCGGUGAAAUGCGUAGAGAUUGGGAGGAACACCAGUGGCGAAGGCGACUUACUGGACUGUAACUGACGCUGAGGCGCGAAAGUGUGGGGAGCAAACAGGAUUAGAUACCCUGGUAGUCCACACUGUAAACGAUGAAUGCUAGGUGUAGGGGGUAUCGACCCCUUCUGUGCCGCAGUCAACACAAUAAGCAUUCCGCCUGGGGAGUACGGCCGCAAGGUUGAAACUCAAAUGAAUUGACGGGG